UUUCAAAGCCACAAUGGAGGAAAGAUCACACAGAGACAGAGAAAGAUGCUGGGGAGCCUAACAUGUCCCAGUCCCACCUGUAAUCCCCCACCUGGAAGAUUGAAGCAUGGUGGGUGCAUGUGUGUGUGUGCCCAAGAUCUUGGCGAGCUGGAGACCUGGAGGAAGAGGAUCAAGAGGCUGGUAUACCACUAGCAGUAGGGAUUCCAUGAAGCACCAGUUAAUGAAUGGGAAAGGACAGAAGAAAAGAAGCCAAUACAGUUUUCAGAACCCUGGAGAUACACCUGUCAACCCACUUUGCAGAUAAGCCAAUUGAGGCUUAGAGAAACUUGACAAUUGACUCAAGGUCAUACCUCCAGGAUUUAACACUUGUAGUUUGGCGGCAACAUCAGGCACUCAACCGGAUCAUACCCAUCACCUUUGCUGUGGCUCAGCAGGAU
Tupaia belangeri chinensis (Chinese tree shrew) is the source of this 437-nucleotide long non-coding RNA. RefSeq lists it as uncharacterized. The transcript is spliced from 4 exons. The record is from RefSeq and is a predicted model, not a curated record. Lineage: Eukaryota; Metazoa; Chordata; Mammalia; Scandentia; Tupaiidae.